Molecule: long non-coding RNA, 321 nt
Organism: Phascolarctos cinereus (koala)
Lineage: Eukaryota; Metazoa; Chordata; Mammalia; Diprotodontia; Phascolarctidae
Source: RefSeq, a predicted model, not a curated record
CGCGUCUGUUGGAGGAGUAGACAGCCAUCUCGGGUGAUUGUAAUGAAGGUAUUCUGAUCAUUGAUAUCUUGGGAAAAUUUCCAGACAAGUCCUGCUAGAGGCCCCAGACAGCUGGAAGACAGAAGAGCCUGAACUAAAUGCCGAACCCUAAGAGACUUGAAGAGACCAAAGAUUGUCUCAAGAGGAACUACACUGUCACUAACUCCAUCUCAGCCCUCAUGUAGACAUGAGAUAUUGAUCUCCACCAGGAAGAGAACAAGACUGACUCUGAUGUUUAUUACAAGUUAAUAUAAUUGUGGGGUGAUAUAAAGCAAAAUAAAG